ACGCCAAUACGCCUCCGCUAUUUGGUGAAUAUCUUGGCUUGGGCACCGAUGAAGAGCGUGACAAGCUGCGAUAAGCUCGGGCUAGUCGCAUGAAGACGUUGACCCCGAGAUUCUCGAAUAGGACAUCCGCUUGCGGCCAAAUAAUCCGCAAGAUUCCCUUGUGGGAAAGGGAACCCUGAGAAGUAAAACAUUUUAGUAUCAGGAGGAAAAGAAAACAAUAGUGAUUCCGUGAGUAACGGCGAGCGAAAGCGGAACAGAUCAAACCGAAUCCCUAGGGAAACCUAGUGGAGAUGUGGUGUAUGGACCUCGUACGACUUCCCUAGAGAAGAUGAAUACUCCUGGAAAGUUGAGCCAUAGAGCGUGAUAGCCGCGUAAUUGUAACCUAGAAAGUUGCUGCGAGAGUUCCUGAGUAGUGCGGGAUGGUUUUCUCGUACGAAUGUGCCAGAUACACGCUGGCAAAUCUAAAUAUGUCCCAAGACCGAUAGCGUAGUAGUAGCGUGAGCGAAAGAUGAAAAGUAACCCGGAAGGGCCGUGAAAAGUGCUUGAAACCAAAUAGCUUAGUAAGGAUGCAGCCUGAAAGGAUAGAUUCUGCGCGAAUGAGUUCUGGUGACAGAACAUCAGAGCACAGAGGACUAGGGUUGCAUCAUCAGUCUGGAAU
RNAcentral lists this ribosomal RNA (658 nucleotides) under Promethearchaeota archaeon. RNAcentral describes it as "Candidatus Lokiarchaeota archaeon (permafrost metagenome) partial 23S ribosomal RNA". It matches the Rfam family "Archaeal large subunit ribosomal RNA", at positions 1 to 657 of the family's 2987-position model. The record is from RNAcentral. Lineage: Archaea; Promethearchaeati; Promethearchaeota.